This 167-nucleotide ribosomal RNA is filed under the name uncultured bacterium. Its description in RNAcentral is "partial 16S ribosomal RNA". It matches the Rfam family "Bacterial small subunit ribosomal RNA", at positions 340 to 524 of the family's 1533-position model. The record is from RNAcentral.
UACGGGAGGCAGCAGUGGGGAAUCUUGCACAAUGGAGGAAACUCUGAUGCAGCGAUGCCGCGUGAGUGAAGAAGGCCUUUGGGUUGUAAAGCUCUUUCGUCGGGGAAGAAAAUGACUGUACCCGAAUAAGAAGGUCCGGCUAACUUCGUGCCAGCAGCCGCGGUAAU